This 98-nucleotide ribosomal RNA is filed under the name Betaproteobacteria bacterium. RNAcentral describes it as "partial 16S ribosomal RNA". It matches the Rfam family "Bacterial small subunit ribosomal RNA", at positions 1 to 97 of the family's 1533-position model. Lineage: Bacteria; Pseudomonadati; Pseudomonadota; Betaproteobacteria. The record is from RNAcentral.
GAACUGAAGAGUUUGAUCCUGGCUCAGAUUGAACGCUGGCGGAAUGCCUUACACAUGCAAGUCGAACGGCAGCACGGACUUCGGUCUGGUGGCGAGUG